CGCCUCUUGAAAUAAAUAAGAGGUCCAGCCUGCCCAGUGACCCUGUUCAACGGCCGCGGUAUCCUGACCGUGCGAAGGUAGCGUAAUCACUUGUUCUUUAAAUAAGGACUAGUAUGAAUGGCACCACGAGGGUUGUACUGUCUCCCGCCUCCAAUCAGUGAAAUUGAUUUUCCCGUGAAGAAGCGGGGAUAAAAAUAUAAGACGAGAAGACCCCAUGGAGCUUAAAACAAACGGCACCUAUUAACCCUUAACAAGUUAAACACUCUGACCGCUAGUUUUCGGUUGGGGCGACCACGGAGAAAAACCCACCCUCCAUGUUGAACGACCUAGUCUAAGCUGAAAGUCACCACUUUAAGCAUCAGCACCCUGACAUUCAUUGACCCAAUAUAAUUGAUCAACGAACCAAUGUUACCCUGGGGAUAACAGCGCAAUCUACUUCAAGAGCCCUUAUCGACAAGUGGGUUUACGACCUCGAUGUUGGAUCAGGGUACCCCAGUGGUGCAGCCGCUACUAACGGUUCGUUUGUUCAACGAUUAAAAACCCU
RNAcentral lists this ribosomal RNA (544 nucleotides) under Geocrinia victoriana (Victoria ground froglet). RNAcentral describes it as "partial 16S ribosomal RNA". It matches the Rfam family "Bacterial large subunit ribosomal RNA", at positions 1819 to 2597 of the family's 2925-position model. Lineage: Eukaryota; Metazoa; Chordata; Amphibia; Anura; Myobatrachidae. The record is from RNAcentral.